RNAcentral lists this ribosomal RNA (467 nucleotides) under uncultured bacterium. RNAcentral describes it as "partial 16S ribosomal RNA". It matches the Rfam family "Bacterial small subunit ribosomal RNA", at positions 28 to 507 of the family's 1533-position model. The record is from RNAcentral.
GACGAACGCUGGCGGCGUGCUUAACACAUGCAAGUCGAACGGAAAGGCCUCUUUCGGGGGGUACUCGAGUGGCGAACGGGUGAGUAACACGUGAGUAACCUGCCCUUGACUUUGGGAUAACUUCAGGAAACUGGGGCUAAUACCGGAUAGGAGCUCCUGCUGCAUGGUGGGGGUUGGAAAGUUUCGGCGGUUGGGGAUGGACUCGCGGCUUAUCAGCUUGUUGGUGGGGUAGUGGCUUACCAAGGCUUUGACGGGUAGCCGGCCUGAGAGGGUGACCGGCCACAUUGUGACUGAGAUACGGCCCAGACUCCUACGGGAGGCAGCAGUGGGGAAUAUUACACAAUGGGUGGAAGCCUGAUGCAGCAACGCCGUGUGCGGGAUGACGGCCUUCGGGUUGUAAACCGCUUUCGCUCAUGACGAAGCUUUGUGUGACGGUAGUGGGUAAAGAAGCACCGGCUAACUACGUG